CUUAGCCUCUUAUCUCAGCUUCUGAAACAUUCUUCAACCUCUACCAGUCUUCUGAAGGUGGCAGCUGUUAAUACAGAACUUGAUGAGGAAGAUGCCAGCAUCUCACCUGGAAUUCACAAAACCCUAGCCAGCCCUAACUCACAAGGGCCUGCACACCCUUUAAUCCAGCAAAAUUAACUCAAGAGCAUGUGGGACCUGAAAUCCAGUCUCUGCAUAUUAUUGCAAGUGCUUCAAGCAAAGAAAAGAACCUGAUUUCACAUUUGAGAUGCAUUUUAAACCAAAGGUCUGUUCUGGUACCUCCACAAGGAAGCAUCAAUCGGACCACAGAAAAUUUACAUCCAGGGAUUUGUCUUCUGGAAUGGAUCUCACUGACCUACAAGAAUUGAAUUUGCC
RNAcentral lists this long non-coding RNA (393 nucleotides) under Homo sapiens (human). Its description in RNAcentral is "non-protein coding lnc-GADL1-1:3". Lineage: Eukaryota; Metazoa; Chordata; Mammalia; Primates; Hominidae. The record is from RNAcentral.